Molecule: long non-coding RNA, 433 nt
Organism: Beta vulgaris subsp. vulgaris (sugar beet)
Lineage: Eukaryota; Viridiplantae; Streptophyta; Magnoliopsida; Caryophyllales; Amaranthaceae
Exons: 2
Source: RefSeq, a predicted model, not a curated record
ACCUCCCUCUCAUUCACGUGUAUCUUCACUCUCACCUCCCUCUCAAUCUCUCUCCUCAAUAGCCAAUACCUUGGAGCUCCAACAAUAAGGAAUUAAUGAUAGAGGAAGCUAACUAUGAAGAGCGAGGAAGCACUGUCGCCAGUGAAGGGGAAGAAAAUAGAAGAAGGGGUUGUUAAAGGGUGGUUAUUGCGGUGGUGGUGGUGCAUGAGGAAAGAUACAUAUAGAGUAAAGUAAUCAUUGGAUGAAGAUCAACUUGUUGUAGUGGGACAGAAGAUCGAAUUCAGGAUAAAGAUCAAACUGUUGCUUUGAUUUUAAUCGCAAUGCUGUGAUCGAAUUGUUUAUGUGGGUAUUGUGUGAGAAAACGAGAAGAAUGGAAGAGUUGUAGUUAUAUGCUGAAAUCUUGUCCGUGGAAUUUAUCUGAUUUAACAAUCUA